CUAUGAAGAGAUAGCAGACCUCAUGUGUGUCUCCAGCGUUAUUACCCUGUCACCAGCUGGCUCAAAUCACUGAAUAGUACACUUGAGAUGCGCGGGAACACUAGCGUCAGGUGAUCAAUUUUCAUACCACUGGUACGAUUGUCGUACCACUGGUUUGAGCUCUACGCUUCCCCUAGCUUCUGUACCUCAAUCGCAGUUGCUGUGACUUUAAAACAGCUGUAUGAUAAAAACAUCUGAUAAAACGGAGUAUGAUACAAACAAUUGAUACUGUUGCACUAAUGCGCGUUUUCUCGAAUGUAGUGUGAAUGUCUCUCUGCGUUAGUCGUAUUGUUCUGUGGUAUGUCGGUCCCACAUGCCACAUGCGAUUGUGGCUCGUCUGCAACCGGCCUUAAACGAGAAUGAACUGUUAAUAUUACAUUAAUAAACCUGUAUCAGCUACCGUCUAUAGAAGGCAUUGACAAGACAGAGGUUCUGCAACGUUUUUCUUCUGUCUUUCUCCACUGCCAAUAUAACGUGGACCUCACUAUAUCUUGGUUCGACCCUAGCAAAUUCUCAAUACAAUUGGACCUCAUUUCACUAAACUGGUGUUUCGAAACCUACCUAGAAUAGGUGUUUCUACAAAAUGUUUGGGAUGUUGAGCUAUUUCCGUCAACAAUUCAUAAAAAUAUGAUUAAUAAUUUCACUUUAUUGUCUCAUCUUUAUCUAACUGUGAAACAUAUUCAACAUUAUAUUCCAUUCACUUUGCGAGUUUCGUAUUGUUCGGAAUCCACCUAAAAUAAUAUUGUAAUUGUACCGAAUCUUGAAGGAAUUUUAACGGUUCUCAUUACCCAUUCUUGAGUCUGUUUAUCAUUCCAUUAUAUUGGAGGUUUGAAACUCCCAUUUAUUAGAUCUACUUAUCUAAAAAAUUAUCUACUUGAAAUUGAAAAAAAAACUGUUUGUGCCGGUUGCACAACAGCCGUUUAAAUUUUAACCGUGAUUAAUUCCACGAGAACCAAUCAGAGAAGCCGUCUUUUCAAAAACGCCUUCUCUGAUUGGUUCUCGUGAAAUUAAUCACGGUUGAAAUUUAAACGGCUGUUAUGCAACCGGGUCUUUGUCUAUUAAAUCGAUAAUUUAGAACCCACCUGAAUUGGGAUGUUUUAACCACACUAUCAAGCCGUUGUCAUCAAUGAAUCACUAAUGUAUAUCAUAAUUACACUGUAUUAAAAACUUGGAAUCAACCGAAAGUACUAUCUCCCAUUUAUGUAUUAUUUAUCUGUAAAAAAUCAUGUUGAAGAUUAUAAAUAAAUAUUGACAAUACUUGAAUGUAUAGAGUAGCUUUAAAUUUAUCUCGGUAAUAUGAAUUGUAAGCUUAGGUACUUAUGUAUUUUAAAUGAUGAUAUGAUAUAUACUUUGUUGAAAUUGAAAUAUAAUUUAAUGAGAUAUUACAAU
Molecule: long non-coding RNA, 1428 nt
Organism: Nilaparvata lugens (brown planthopper)
Lineage: Eukaryota; Metazoa; Arthropoda; Insecta; Hemiptera; Delphacidae
Exons: 2
Source: RefSeq, a predicted model, not a curated record